GAAAAAAGGCAUUUAGAAGAUGGGACCCAAAGAUUAGAGCUGCCAGUAUCAAAGACGACAGAGAAACUUUGUGGAGGUGAACCAAUACCAAUCUCUCCAUAAUAUUGGGCAUCAAGAUAGUUGUUUAAAUAAACUACAUCUGCUUUAGGAUGAUUGAAACGAUUGUGAACCUCGUUUUUAGUGAUUAACCUUGCAGCGUUGAUGGUGUUAAUGCCUAACUGCCGCUUCUUCAGUUGAAUCCUCAGUAACCCAUGAGAAGGAGGAGGAGGAGGAGGCAUCGAGGCUAAGAUGCAGGGGCAAACCCACAUACAUAUUGCAGCAAGAAGAAACUUAAUCCCCAUUCUUACACAAAUUUUCCUGUGCGGGUAUGACAUCAAAGGAUAACAAAAAUGUUUGAGCAGAAAUGCGAAAUUAAAGCAAACAAAUCAUCAAAGUGGAGGAAUUUUUUUCAUUGAAUUUGAAGCAUGAAUGCACAGAGAAGCAGACUGGGGAGUUAUGGUGUUCAGUUUUCAGCUCUUAAUUAGUUAUACGAUAAAUGGUAGGGAAUACCGAUUAUAUGCAUGAAUCAUGAUCAGAUAAUCAUUGCUGACAUGCAUGAAUAUGUAGUAACGAAGUGGUAGUGGGGAGGGAAUUAAGCUGAUUGAUACCUGCUGAGUUGAUGAUAUGGCGCCAAUCAACGAACGAACCAACGAGCUGCCUGGCCUGCCUUUUUAUGUUUGCACCCUGUAGUGAAUCAUCUGUGAGCUUGUUUCGUGUGGGUGUGAUUAAAUGCUCAGGAAACCACUGCGCAAUUUCUCUUCCCGCGUUGUACUUGGAGAUCAGUGAGUCAUUGACAAAAUAAUUUUAUUCGUUUAUAGUUUAGAUAGAUUAAUUAUUGAACAAGUAAGUUUAUUUAUUUGUUUCAGUGAAUAAUCUCACUACCAUGGUUUCGUAAUGUCCUGUCUCCUUGCUAAACUUGCUAUUAUGUACUACAUACAACAUUCCAGAUACAACAACAGUAGGAUGUUUUUACUUUUAACAAAUUCAGGGUCAGCAUGUUCAUUUCUAAAAUACUGGAGGCCAAUUGUUGAAAAAGUAAAAUUCAAGGGCCUACAAGUUAUUAAUGUAAAAUAUACUUGGGCUUUUAGGCCCAUAAAAGUAGAAGCCCAAAGUGUACAAACUGCAAAGAACUGAAAUUUUGGCUGUUUGGUAGUACCCCCCCACCCCGACCUCAGUUCAAACUUCAAAGUAGAAACUACUCGCCUUUCCUCACUACUUGCCCUGGUCCUCGUUCCUGAAAGCAUAUUUAUUGAAGCCAAUCAAAUUGUUCGUAAAUGUAAGAAAAAAGCGCUUUUGAUUGUUUGUAUUUGUAGCUGAGUGUGUUCAAAGAAAAUGGAAGUGGAUGACGAAUGGGAGUUCAGCGCAGAAGAAUUGGAUUUCCUUGAAAGAGAAGCUCUUCAGCAGAUUGCUCAACGCCACAGCAAACCCUUUUCUGAUUCUCCUUCAUACAAGGUAAGGCUCUCUCCUUUUUCCUCAAUUCUUUCCAAAGAUCCUGCAAGUAUUUUGCCUUUUGUAUUUUUUUAACUGUUUAAGAUGUUCACUCCGUUUUGAUUUUGGAUACAACUAUUGAGCAAAUUUUAAGAAAGGAGCCCUUUUCUUAAGGGGUUGCCAAAAGUUUCAUCCCUGCUUCUCAAAAGUACCCCCAUUUGAAUUUCCUUUUUGGAGCACUUUAAGUUUGUGCAUUCUGUUGUUCUUUUCUUUUUAUUGUUUAAUGACCCUUGUGGUGUAACCAUUGAUAUGAUUACCUUAAGGAUGAUUACUUGGUUGUUCUGGUUUACUAGCAAUGAAUGAUGCCAUCUGUUUAGAUGUGAAGGAAAGAGUUGCACUAUCAUGGAUUUUUUCUUUAUGUUGUAAUUCAGGUAGAAGCUUUGCCCCAGGGGUCCAGAACAUUGCCCUUAUCAGUUGCACCCCCUCCUAAAGGAAGCUUGGGUUGGUUUCUCCCUGUGCUAAAAUUACCCUUGCUCAUUAUUUAUUAAAUGGCUAACAAGUUGUAUUCUUCUAGUAGUCAUAAUCAUUUUGUUGAAUUGUGGAUUAUCUGGCUAACUACUUGACUCCUGUCUAAACUUGCUGUGUCCCCACCAUUUUGUGCUCAACCAGGUGAUUUUUCUAAGGAACAAGUACCUAAGCUCUCUGUCAAAUUUUAUUUUCAUACAAGUGGAAAUAUUGCUGCAAAAUUUACAUAUGACCCGGUAUAUCUUCUAUUUGCUGGCAUAAUGAUCCAGAAUUCUAGAGCAAGUCUGAUUUUGUUAAUGCAUGCAUAAUUUUCUCUCUCUCUCUCUCUCUCUUUUUUUUUAAUAAUAAAAUCUAGGUGCUAGUAGGUGCUUUCCGCAAGAUCCCUAAAGCCACAUGGAAUGCGAAAGAAAGGUCUUGUUCCAUAUCUCUAAGCAUAUCUUUUAUGCACCAUGCAAAAAUGGUUGUGUCUCUUGCACACUUGUUUGAGCUUUCACGAGCAUUGAGCCUUAGCAUGCUACACUGCCAUUGAACCUGCAGAUUGUGGACUUUCCCAGUUCCGUUUUUAUCAUCAGCAGAGAAAGUUUUGAGUGAAAUAUCUGGUUACAAUGUUGAGGUGGUAACUUGUGCAUUUUUAUCUCUUUAUGAUUAUCCAAUCUUUUCACAGUACUGCAUUUUAUUAAAAAAUAAAUAAAUUAUUUUGGGGGUUGUGAUCGGUGUAAGGAGGAGGGGUUUUCCCUGAAGAAACAGAAUGCAUUUUAUAAACUUUAGAAUUCUGCACUUAUCUUUGAAUCACAAAUUGUGUCAUUUUCACACUUAAUUAUCUAUUAUAAUAUAUUCCAGAUAGAGAACCUGCAUCCCUUGGUUCAACUUAUUCAUAAAAAGAAAGAUAUACAAUAAGAUCAUAAUCAGAUUUUGUAGGUUUCAUAUAUGUUCUGGAAAUACAAUCUUAUUUGCUAGAGAUUGUAUUCAGGAUUUGAUAUAUCUUGGGGGUAAUUUGCCAUUAAUACUCUAUAGCAAACCAAGAUUGGAGAGGGCAAAUAAAACCUUAAAGGAAAGUGUGCAAACACGUCUCAAAUCCUAAGAAACAUUCUUUGUUCUUUGCCUCCAUAUUCUUAUAAUUCACCAACAACAUUUGCCCACUGCUAAGAUGUGCAUCUUAUCAAUCACAUGCGUGACCCAUCUUAUUAUCCGGUUGGGAAAAUGUCCAGGAAAGAGUAACAAAUACAUGUGGGAUGUCAGCUCGCUGCUAUACUUAUGCAUAUUAGUGAAUGGCAUGAAUCUCAUCUAUACAUAUAUAAUGGAAUCAUGACUCAUUGUAGGAGAUCGAAGUGUUGGUGCUGUAAGUCAGGAUAUUUAUACAAAUUAAACAACUGCCUCUUUGCUUUAAUUCCUUGCGAUAUCGCAUUAUUCUGUUGUAGCAUCAAACAAUCUCCAGAUAGCGGUGGGAUUGAAUCUAGACAUACUAGUUAUGCAGCUUCAGCAAAUCCUAUUUGUAGAUUACCAAAAUCAAAAACUGUGUGAUAUGCCCUCAGGAACAUGUCUCCUAGAACCCUGCUUAAACAUACAGAUAUUGUACAUCACGCAUCUAUAAAUAUAUUCCAAAUAUGAUUUGCAUGGAGUAAGAGAACUAUAGCUACAGUAGCUGCAAAUUUUUCUAAAUGGCAUGUGCAUAGAAAGAUUAGUAACUAAAGACUUAGUGACUUACCAAAGGGGACCUUGCGGCGGAGGUACAUCCAAUGCGAUGAACCCACUAAUACAUAUGGUAGAAUGGCCUUCUUCAAUUUUGAAAAUAUACUGAAAGAAACCCAAAAUAUUCGAAGCUCUAAUUAAUACUAUUCUGGCAAGAGACAGGGACCUGUUUAUUGCUCUUGCUUAUGAAUAUAAAAUGCCAAAGAGAUUCCAAAUGAUAGAAUACACACCUGUUCUGGAGAGAGGGGGAAGGACCUAUUUCCAAUGGUGAACGAAACAUAUGGCAUGCUUGCGAUGUCAUCACAGUUGAUAAAUGAUUUUCCCAUGGGGUUUGGAAGUACCUCGCAAAGCUUAAACAAACACAACAGAAAUACUAAGACUGCAAGUAAUUAUCAGUGAUGUAAUAUUUCAAAAAUAAAAAAGGAAAGAAAAGCAGCUAUAUAGGCACCUUAUCUGCAUAUUUGAAUAUUGCCUCCUUUGUUUUUUGUUGUUUAAGCUGCAUUUGAAUCCAGAAAACAAUCAUCUCACAGAAAGCGCAUAGCGUGCUCUCAUUUAUAGAUGACCCGUUGCUGGUUUUAUGUUGCACAACAGUCUCAAUACCAGUGCUGCAUGGAUCUCAAAUAAGGUUUAAUCAAGAGGAUUGCAAAUGAUAAAACCAAAGAGGAAAGCAAGUAAGAAUUACUUCAUAUAGCGAGAUCCAUUAUAUACACAUAAUCCAAUGUCUGAACAAACAGUUUCAGGUUGUACCUACAUAGAUGGAAUGUAGAUUGUUGGAGUCAUUACGAAGAUAAAUAAAUAUUGAAUUAGAUGGUUGAGACAGAAAAUUUUCCAAAGAAAGAAAAAACAAACCCCAGAUAUUAGGAAUUCCCAAAUCAUAUUCCCAUACUCAAAAACAACAGUUUUACAUUGCAUGCUCACAAUUCCUUCUGCUCCAAUAGCAUGAUUGAUUUGAGCCACUACAGUCUGGAAAGAAGAGUAAGCAAGUAUAGCAUUGAAGUCAGAGAGGACACAAAAAGAUAUGAAGCAAAUUAAAUGUUCAAGACCUCUUAAGUUAAAAGUCAAUACAGUUGGACCAGCAAGUACUGAUGUUCCCGAGUCCAAAAUGGCAGUGCAACCAUCUUCACAAAAUCCUGAGAAUAUUUGAAAAUAAAAUCUUAAGCCUGGUUAUGCUUGUGAGAAUUGCAUAUAAUGAAUGGAAAUGCUUGGGGCCACCGAAAGCCUGGUUGAUUUUAUACUGCACAGAAGCCUAUGUGUUUGUCUUAGACUUUGUUUCAAGUUGUAAAAUAUGUCAUAACACAGAAAUUCAGUCAUGAUGGAGGGAAGUUGGGCCUUAAAUCUCAUCGAAUCACCUGUUGAACUGUUUUCAAUCAAAAUAUCUCCCACCUUAAUCUGAAAAUAAGAAUGAAUUGAAAUUAAAUUUCAACUUAUUCAUAAGUAGUCAGAGAACUAGAACUUUAUUCCUUUCAACAGACCUGCCAGUAGCCUUUCUCAGUAAUCGGAACAUAGAUAUGGCUACCCCUAAAAUGCCUCCAAUCAAAACCUCCAAAGAUUAUCUCACCUCCGACUUCUGAAUUUGGAUCCUGAUUGAGCCAGAGAGAGAAUAUUUUCUGGCUAAUAUGACCUUGUCGCACCAUAUUAUACCUGUAGUCAGAGCACUAAACUAUUUGUUCCAUACUCAAAGAUUCAGAGUAAGCCAAAGAGAAACAAAUCCUUCUCUUUAUAUUAUUAUAAUGGUGCUAAAGUAACAAUAAGUAGAGCUGUUAUUAAAAAUUUAUACCACAGUGGCGUGGCAUUCCCAGCAGCAAUAUCCCGAAACCCAAGUCCAAGAAUCCCAUCAAAUUGCAGAGCCAGGAAUGGUAAUAAUCCUUCCUUAGUGACCUCAACAAACUCCUGAAGGAUGAGAAGAUCAUAACAUCACUAUAAAGUAGUCACAAAAAUAUCUGAAGUUCAAUAUCUUGGGAGGAAGCAAAAAAGCAUACUUGAUCCUUGAUGAUCAUAUCGCCGAUUUUGACAUUGUCUUGGCUGAAGAAGCCAGAAAUUUGUCCAGAGCCAUAAUGAAUUUUGCAAGGUACUCCUGAAAUAUAAGUAUAAUUUACAAGAAGAUCUCAACUUAUUUAUACAAACAAUUACUGUGCCCACUAGAAAUAUCCCAAACAUAUUUAAAAAUGUGAUCCUCUAAAAUCAAGAGCCUUACAAAGGUGAUGCAGGAGGAAAAUUACCAAUCUUAGUAUAAGUCCUGGACAGCCUCGCCCUGUAUCUCGAAUGUAAAUAGCAAGAUAUCUGCAUAUGGUGAUGCUUAAUUAUUAUGAGCACUCACAUUCACAUGAGAAGAAAAAGGAAAGGACUUGAGAGAUGCAGCAUUUGCAGACUUACAGAAAAAAGGCAUUUAGAAGAUGGGACCCAAAGAUUAGAGCUGCCAGUAUCAAAGACGACAGAGAAACUUUGUGGAGGUGAACCAAUACCAAUCUCUCCAUAAUAUUGGGCAUCAAGAUAGUUGUUUAAAUAAACUACAUCUGCUUUAGGAUGAUUGAAACGAUUGUGAACCUCGUUUUUAGUGAUUAACCUUGCAGCGUUGAUGGUGUUAAUGCCUAACUGCCGC
Molecule: long non-coding RNA, 6280 nt
Filed under: Citrus sinensis (sweet orange)
Lineage: Eukaryota; Viridiplantae; Streptophyta; Magnoliopsida; Sapindales; Rutaceae
Description: long non-coding RNA (CSIN_LNC003698)
Source: RNAcentral